Molecule: long non-coding RNA, 762 nt
Organism: Hordeum vulgare subsp. vulgare (domesticated barley)
Lineage: Eukaryota; Viridiplantae; Streptophyta; Magnoliopsida; Poales; Poaceae
Exons: 2
Source: RefSeq, a predicted model, not a curated record
UAUGGUUUCAAGAACAAUACAUUUAUCACUUCAUUCACAAAGUGAACAAGAAGGCACAUUCAUGGAAGGUACCACUUCACAAUGAAAUCUCAAUGUGAAUGCCACAUAAAAACAAGACCACUGACAGUAUAAUGCAAGAAGCAAAGAUUAACAAUAUUGACAUAAUAUCAGUUAAAGGAAACAGGUUCAACCUCUUGGCUUGCUGAGGUAUUAGCAAGAUAUACAACCUACUGAUAACAUUAUAUUGUCACAAAUACAAUAUUGACAUGGUAAUCGGAGACCAUGAACAUGUGCAAUGAUACAAGGUAGGCAUUGCAGUGAAUGGAAGUAAAGUAGAUGUCAUAAAGAACAUGCCACAAUAAACAGAAUUCGUCUGGAAGAUGAUAAAAUUCAAACAAGCUGCAACCACUAUCAGGCCAACAUGUAAUUCAGGCAUGCAUGUAACCAGUAUCAGGCCAACAUGUAAUUCAGGCAUGCAUGUAACCAGUAUCAGGCCAACAUGUAAUUCAGGCAUGCAUGUAACCAGUAUCAGGCCAACAUGUAAUUCAUAGAUGCAUGUAAUAAACAGUAUCAGGUGGCCGAUAUUAAACAACUAGCACAAACCAAUAAGAUCACUAGAUCAACAUUCAAAAAUAUGGAAGCAUAUACAAAUACAUGCAUUUCAAGAAAAAUAUACCAGAAGCAUACCUGAUGUGGCGUUGCCUGAUCAAGACACGGGCAUGGUGGAUGGACUUUGCCAUGCCAGCCUUGAAGACAAGAGUC